UCCCAUAAGCUGAACCUGGGCAAUCGGAGCCUCCCUACCCCUCCCCUGUCCUUGGAAUGUGUGUUGUGCCCACUCUGUCGUUGCAAGGAUGCAGCUUUGAGAGAGCGCUAUGUCGUCGAGACUGUCUGGAAGGUACAUGUGACUGAACCGCAGUGAACCCUCCACAUGAACUCAGAUUCUGGCCUGCAGGUGUGGAGAUCCACUCGUCUGGUGGCCACCUGGGGCCAAGCCUGAUAAAAUGAUGCAUGGUGUCCCUUCACACGGAAAUGCGACUUCCCAGGACAGGAGCCUUUCCAAGAACACAACUUUGAGAGAGUAACACGUCCUGGAGACCAUGUGGACGUAGAUAUGACUGAACCCCACUAAGGCCUCUGUAAACUUUGAAGGUUCUGGAAGGUGGGUGCAGAGAUCUACCUGUCUUGGGGCACCUGGGAUAAGCCUCUUAAGUCCUCGUGCUUACUAACCCUGCCCUGCACCGUCUGGAGGGCCCUGCCUCUUCAUCUCUCCUUGCCCUCUGUGGAUGUGGCCACUUGCAGAUUUCACCGGGGAAGUUCCCGCAGUUGUAAACCGACAGUGUGGUUGUGCCCAGGGUUGGAGGGAGGGGGCACUGGGUGGAUGUGUGAAUGGAUGUCCAGUGUGGGAACGGCUGUGUGCAGGGGUAGGUGUCCCAGUCUGUGGUUGUAUGAUAUGCGAAGCGGGGCAAAAAAAGGUGUGUGUCAGGGCAGUGCGAGCAAACUCUGUGACAUGCAUGGAUCAGGCAGUGGGAAUUUGUGUCCGUGGAAAAUGUUUGGGAAGAUGGGGGCAUCUGUACAUCGCUGGAGUUUAAGAGUUUAAACAGCUGUGGUGUGUGUUUCUGUGUAGACAAGAAGUCACGUGUGCAAAGGGGAGGAGGGAAGAUGGGACCCAAGGCUUGAAACUGCCCUAUUGGUUCCCCCGGGGCCUCCACUUACCCCUUG
Mustela erminea (ermine) is the source of this 956-nucleotide long non-coding RNA. RefSeq lists it as uncharacterized. Lineage: Eukaryota; Metazoa; Chordata; Mammalia; Carnivora; Mustelidae. The record is from RefSeq and is a predicted model, not a curated record. The transcript has 3 exons.